UGCCAGACUCCUACGGGAGGCAGCAGUGAGGAAUAUUGGUCAAUGGACGCAAGUCUGAACCAGCCAUGCCGCGUGCAGGAAGAAGGUGCUAUGCAUUGUAAACUGCUUUUAUACGGGGGUAAUUACAGAUACGUGUAUCUGGAUGAAAGUACCGUAUGAAUAAGGAUCGGCUAACUCCGUGCCAGCAGCCGCGGUAAUACGGAGGAUCCGAGCGUUAUCCGGAUUUAUUGGGUUUAAAGGGUGCGUAGGCGGUCAGGUAAGUUAGAGGUGAAAGCUCGAUGCUCAACAUCGAAACUGCCUCUGAUACUGUCUGACUAGAGUGUAGUUGCGGAAGGCGGAAUGUGUGGUGUAGCGGUGAAAUGCUUAGAUAUCACGCAGAACACCGAUUGCGAGGGCAGCUUUCCAAGCUAUUACUGACGCUGAGGCACGAAAGCGUGGGGAGCGAACAGGAUUAGAUACCCUAGUAUA
Molecule: ribosomal RNA, 468 nt
Filed under: uncultured bacterium
Lineage: Bacteria
Description: bacterial SSU rRNA
Rfam family: Bacterial small subunit ribosomal RNA
Source: RNAcentral